This 483-nucleotide ribosomal RNA is filed under the name uncultured bacterium. RNAcentral's name for it is "bacterial SSU rRNA". It matches the Rfam family "Bacterial small subunit ribosomal RNA", at positions 28 to 496 of the family's 1533-position model. The record is from RNAcentral.
GAUGAACGCUAGCGGCAGGCUUAAUACAUGCAAGUCGAGGGGCAUCAAGGUACACGAAAGUGUAUUGUUGGCGACCGGCGGACGGGUGAGUAAUAGGUAGGUAACCUACCUCAUACUGAGGCAUAGCUGGGAGAAAUUCCAGGUAAUUCCUCAUGAGGUUAUAUGACACAUGUGAUAUAAUCAAAGGUAUCGCAAGGUACUGGUAUGAGAUGGGCUUACUGACCAUUAGCUAGUUGGUGAGAUAAGAGCUCACCAAGGCGAAGAUGGUUAGGGGUUUUGAGAGAGAGAUCCCCCACAUUGGAACUGAGAUACGGUCCAGACUCCUACGGGAGGCAGCAGUAGGGAAUAUUGGGCAAUGGGCGGAAGCCUGACCCAGCCAUGCCGCGUGAAGGAAGACGGCCUUAUGGGUUGUAAACUCUUUACUAUGCGACUAACUAGAUUUACGAGAUAAUUCUAUAGAAUGUAGCAUAGCAAAAGCACCGG